AUUAUUUAUAGCCUCUGGCUAUAGGAAAUUGUUAGUGGCAGACGGGUGAGUAAUGCGUAGGAAUCUACCUAGUAGUACGGAAUAGCCAUUAGAAAUGGUGGGUAAUACUGUAUAAUCCCCGAGGGGGAAAGAUUUAUCGCUAUUAGAUGAGCCUACGUUAGAUUAGCUAGUUGGUGAGGUAAUGGCUUACCAAGGCUAUGAUCUAUAGCUGGUCUGAGAGGACGAUCAGCCACACUGGAACUGAGAUACGGUCCAGACUCCUACGGGAGGCAGCAGUGGGGAAUAUUGGACAAUGGGCGAAAGCCUGAUCCAGCUAUGCCGCGUGAGUGAAGAAGGCCUUCGGGUUGUAAAACUCUUUCAAUAGGGAAGAUAAUGACGGUACCUAUAGAAGAAGUCCCGGCAAACUCUGUGC
Molecule: ribosomal RNA, 412 nt
Filed under: Ehrlichia canis
Lineage: Bacteria; Pseudomonadati; Pseudomonadota; Alphaproteobacteria; Rickettsiales; Anaplasmataceae
Description: bacterial SSU rRNA
Rfam family: Bacterial small subunit ribosomal RNA
Source: RNAcentral